This 342-nucleotide ribosomal RNA is filed under the name Bacillus cereus. RNAcentral describes it as "bacterial SSU rRNA". It matches the Rfam family "Bacterial small subunit ribosomal RNA", at positions 1192 to 1531 of the family's 1533-position model. Lineage: Bacteria; Bacillati; Bacillota; Bacilli; Caryophanales; Bacillaceae. The record is from RNAcentral.
CCCGAGACGCNUAUUAGGCAGGAGUGGAUGCGUGCUACAAUGGACGGUACAAAGAGCUGCAAGACCGCGAGUGGGAGCUAAUCUCAUAAAACCGUUCUCAGUUCGGAUUGUAGGCUGCAACUCGCCUACAUGAAGCUGGAAUCGCUAGUAAUCGCGGAUCAGCAUGCCGCGGUGAAUACGUUCCCGGGCCUUGUACACACCGCCCGUCACACCACGAGAGUUUGUAACACCCGAAGUCGGUGGGGUAACCUUUUUGGAGCCAGCCGCCUAAGGUGGGACAGAUGAUUGGGGUGAAGUCGUAACAAGGUAGCCGUAUCGGAAGGUGCGGUUGGAUCACCUCCU